GGGGAUGCACCGGUUUCGACGGUUGUGAAUAAUGCACUUGCUGCAUGUGGGAGUGAAGGUUCCCUAAACUGACAAAAAAAUAACUGCAAUUUUCGCAAGAAAAGAAGAAGAAGUUGUUGAAGCUUCUUCUGCAGAAGCUCUCGCUGCGUAAGCAGGUUAGCCGGGAUCUGCAGGGUGCUGUUCCUAACUUUGCUGAAUCCUGUCACCAACAGGAACUUGCCGUAAUUCAUUCCAACUGGUUUUACGGGACAUUUUAAGCUGGAUACGGAGAUGUCGCUUGUCGUGCUGCUAAGUAUCUCCCGACAACCAAAUCGCACGGAUAAACAUGUAGAGGCAUUUGGAUUACACAUUCGGACGGGGGUUCAAUUCCCCCCAUCUCCACA
Molecule: small RNA, 383 nt
Filed under: uncultured Treponema sp.
Lineage: Bacteria; Pseudomonadati; Spirochaetota; Spirochaetia; Treponematales; Treponemataceae
Description: transfer-messenger RNA
Rfam family: transfer-messenger RNA
About the family: Bacterial tmRNA, also known as 10Sa RNA or SsrA, is named for its dual tRNA and mRNA-like properties.
Source: RNAcentral